Molecule: long non-coding RNA, 604 nt
Filed under: Vigna radiata
Lineage: Eukaryota; Viridiplantae; Streptophyta; Magnoliopsida; Fabales; Fabaceae
Description: long non-coding RNA (VRAD_LNC000906)
Source: RNAcentral
CAUGGUUCAACCAUGGUUUCUUGGUUUAAUAAAGAAUGAAAAUUAUGCAAGAAAAUAGAAGAAAAGAAAAUGGAGGACCGUUUAAGUUAAGAUGAAACAUAUGUACAAAACUGCACCUCAAAAUUUUCAAAAUAUUUGCGGGAUUGGUCAAACAAUGAAAUAUGUCGUUAUCCUCUUGAAUACCACCCUUCUCCCUCUGUCAUAUUUUUCCAGUUAGAGUCCCACUGUUAUUAUAGAAACAAAAGUUUGACCAAAGACUAAACACCCGUUUAAAUGGACCACACACACUCUGUGUCAAGUGUGUAUAAUAAUAUCUCCUCUAUCUUCUUACCCUGUGUUGUGUUGUGCUGUGUAUGAGAACCCAAACAGAAACAAAGAGAAAGAAGCAUCACAGAGAGAAAACAAAAGCAUUACAAUUAAAGGAAAAGAAUGGCUAAGAUAAGGGAGAAGUUAUACGUCAGCGUUCCGAGUCUCUUUCGGUGCCCAAUUUCAAUGGACGUCAUGCAGUCCCCUGUAAGCCUCUGCACCGGCGUCACAUACGAUCGCGCCAGCAUUCAGCGCUGGCUAGACUUAGGACACGACACGUGUCCCGCCACCAUGCAGG